CCCCUUAUCAAAACCGGUUCAAUCUCAAAGCCGGACAAAGCAUCGCGAAUGACGGACGCGCGUCAUCAAUUGAAUUUGGCUUAUGUUUCGUGAGUCGUGACUUCUGCUGAAGGGGAACCCUAAAGGAGAUGUUGACCUGAAACCUGGACCUGUUACUCACUACAGUUCCUCUGCAGGUUCCCCUUCAUGAUAGAAAUUCACUUCCAUAUCAUCUGAGAGACUUGGUGAGUAGCUGAGUAAAAUGUAUUAUGGUACAGCAUUCCUUCCCAACCAGGUAAUGGUUUGAAUCCCAC
Molecule: long non-coding RNA, 293 nt
Organism: Macrobrachium nipponense
Lineage: Eukaryota; Metazoa; Arthropoda; Malacostraca; Decapoda; Palaemonidae
Exons: 3
Source: RefSeq, a predicted model, not a curated record